GAUAAAGUGCUGUUUGUCUCAGUGGAGAGCCCUCUGACUUGGCUGCAGCACCCGGUGUGGUGUACUCUCCCUCUCAUACAGGGUGAUAGCCAGACACGUUGGAAACAGCGAAACUGACGUUCAGGACUGACGUGACCACUGACGGAUGCUGUGGCACAGAUACUGGAAAGCAUCACCCUGGUCUCCUUGGUGAAUGUCCUGUGACUGAUCCAACCAAUUAGACCCAAUAGCCUGUGUGGUGGUGUGGCCACACAUGGUGACCACCUUUAAGUUGAGUAUUUUGUUAUUCUUUUCAUCUUAAAUGAGGACACACAGUCUUUUCUUUUCAUUCAUUACAUGUAACAGUUGUUUAAUUUGAGUGCACACAUUUUAGUUAACUACAUGUUGAUUAAUAUUCCUGUGUUUGAGUUGAAUUCACUGUGUGUCUUUGUUGUGUGCAGCUCUCCCCAGCUCUGAAAAGGAGGCAGCGCCAUCCAAAAUGGCCUCUUAUGGAAAUGGGGCAGGAUAUGGAGGUGCCAGAGGGGAGGUUUUCUUUUCUUUGAGAUUUAUUAAUUUGAGAUCAUUUAAGAGCUUUAAGUUUAAUUCAUUAUUAGAGUGUUUAUAUUGAGUAUGUAUAGGUUUUAUUUUGUAGUCUUUGUUCACAUUAUGUUUCAUUUGCGGUAUGGAAGUUGUCAGUUAUGUCUGUUUCCCCCUAUUGUCUGUGUUGGCAAGCCAAAGUCUAUAUAACCCUCACUUACUGUCUCAUUUGGGAGGUCAAGUGGGUUGAGUUGCUGUUUAUUCAAGUUGACCUCAGUUUAAGUUAUUUGUACAAAUAUGCUUUGGAUAUUGUUUCUUCAAGGUAAGUU
This is a long non-coding RNA of Acanthopagrus latus (yellowfin seabream), 845 nucleotides long. RefSeq lists it as uncharacterized. NCBI's taxonomy places the organism in Eukaryota, Metazoa, Chordata, Actinopteri, Spariformes, Sparidae. The transcript has 3 exons. The record is from RefSeq and is a predicted model, not a curated record.